GAUGAACGCUGGCGGCGUGCCUAAUACAUGCAAGUCGAGCGAAUGGAUUAAGAGCUUGCUCUUAUGAAGUUAGCGGCGGACGGGUGAGUAACACGUGGGUAACCUGCCCAUAAGACUGGGAUAACUCCGGGAAACCGGGGCUAAUACCGGAUAACAUUUUGAACCGCAUGGUUCGAAAUUGAAAGGCGGCUUCGGCUGUCACUUAUGGAUGGACCCGCGUCGCAUUAGCUCGUUGGUGAGGUAACGGCUCACCAAGGCAACCAUGCGUAGCCGACGGGAGAGGUAGAUCGGCCACACGGGGACUGAGACACGGCCCAGACUCCUACGGGAGGCAGCAGUAGGGAAUCUUCCGCAAUGGACGAAAGUCUGACGGAGCAACGCCGCGUGAGUGAUGAAGGCUUUCGGGUCGUAAAACUCUGUUGUUAGGGAAGAACAAGUGCUAGUUGAAUAAGCUGGCACCUUGACGGUACCUAACCAGAAAGCCACGGCUAACUACGUGCCAGCCGCCGCAGUAA
This 515-nucleotide ribosomal RNA is filed under the name uncultured bacterium. RNAcentral describes it as "partial 16S ribosomal RNA". It matches the Rfam family "Bacterial small subunit ribosomal RNA", at positions 28 to 523 of the family's 1533-position model. The record is from RNAcentral.